UGCGCCCGUAGCUCAGCCUGGAUAGAGCAGUGGGGUCCUAACCCAAAGGUCGUAGGUUCAAAUCCUAUCGGGCGCGU
Molecule: transfer RNA, 77 nt
Filed under: uncultured archaeon
Lineage: Archaea
Description: tRNA-Arg(cct)
Rfam family: tRNA
About the family: Transfer RNA (tRNA) molecules are approximately 80 nucleotides in length.
Source: RNAcentral